RNAcentral lists this long non-coding RNA (1027 nucleotides) under Nicotiana benthamiana. RNAcentral describes it as "long non-coding RNA (NBEN_LNC036039)". The record is from RNAcentral. Lineage: Eukaryota; Viridiplantae; Streptophyta; Magnoliopsida; Solanales; Solanaceae.
CUGCAGAAAAAAUUGCAGAACCAUCAACUGUCGACGUGGCUUCAACUAGUUGCUAAUACUGGAAGCAUUUACUAUCUGGUGGAAUCUUGUCCCAUCGCUUGAAGGCAGAUCAAACGUGGGAAGCAUCACCCGUGCUACCUCUCAAAGAAGAAAUGGAGCAUCAAAGCCAGAGAAAUGCAUUAACCAGAGGCAUUCAGGGUUGACAAUUGCAUUGGGAACCUUUUUCUUACGAUGGUUGCAGCCUACAAACCAGAAUUUUUAUACGGAAAAAUAGAAGAGAUGGUAUCAUCAUAAAGUAAUGCAACGGUAUGGAAACUCAAGAGGUAUAUUUGAUAUCACAACAUUUAUUGGCAUACCUUAAAGGUAAGUAAUUUACUUUUCCAAAGCUGACCGUUCUUCAAAUAAGCAGCGUCAUAAUGAGAAGAAGAGGAAAUUGAGCGACUCUACUGCAGAAAAAAUUGCAGAACCAUCAACUGUCGACGUGGCUUCAACUAGUUGCUAAUACUGGAAGCAUUUACUAUCUGGUGGAAUCUUGUCCCAUCGCUUGAAGGCAGAUCAAACGUGGGAAGCAUCACCCGUGCUACCUCUCAAAGAAGAAAUGGAGCAUCAAAGCCAGAGAAAUGCAUUAACCAGAGGCAUUCAGGGUUGACAAUUGCAUUGGGAACCUGUUUUCUUACGAUGGUUGCAGCCUACAAACCAGGUGUUCUUUGAUGCGAAAAUAUCUUGUUACGUAAAUGAAGUUAAAUGCUAACUGAUAUAUGCAUGUAACACAAACCAUAUAUAUGAUAAAUUUUGUACUGCUAUAGAUGUCAUGUUUAUCUCUCCAGGUUAGAAGUUGUUUGCGUGGAGGCUCUCUCUGGCUGAUAAUGAGUUGUAUAAAUAGGCAUUAUCGCAAUCAUUUUGUUCAAAGAUUGUGUAACUACAAAACAAGAACAUUUCAAGUGUUAUUUAGACCUAUUAACAUAUAUAAGUUACAUGUGGUCUAUCUUAAUUAAUUUGGAAUUGGGACAUAGUUAAUCGUUAUGUG